AUGUGCUGUGAGCUCGAUGAGUAGGGCGGGACACGUGGUAUCCUGUCUGAAUAUGGGGGGACCAUCCUCCAAGGCUAAAUACUCCUGACUGACCGAUAGUGAACCAGUACCGUGAGGGAAAGGCGAAAAGAACCCCGGCGAGGGGAGUGAAAAAGAACCUGAAACCGUGUACGUACAAGCAGUGGGAGCACAGGUUUACCUGUGUGACUGCGUACCUUUUGUAUAAUGGGUCAGCGACUUAUAUUCUGUAGCAAGGUUAACCGAAUAGGGGAGCCGGAGGGAAACCGAGUCUUAAUUGGGCGUUAAGUUGCAGGGUAUAGACCCGAAACCCGGUGAUCUAGCCAUGGGCAGGUUGAAGGUUGGGUAACACUAACUGGAGGACCGAACCGACUAAUGUUGAAAAAUUAGCGGAUGACCUGUGGCUGGGGGUGAAAGGCCAAUCAAACCGGGAGAUAGCUGGUUCUCCCCGAAAGCUAUUUAGGUAGCGCCUCGUGAAUUCAUCUCCGGGGGUAGAGCACUGUUUCGGCUAGGGGGCCAUCCCGGCUUACCAACCCGAUGCAAACUGCGAAUACCGGAGAAUGUUAUCACGGGAGACACACGGCGGGUGCUAACGUCCGUCGUGAAGAGGGAAACAACCCAGACCGCCAGCUAAGGUCCCAAAGUCAUGGUUAAGUGGGAAACGAUGUGGGAAGGCCCAGACAGCCAGGAUGUUGGCUUAGAAGCAGCCAUCAUUUAAAGAAAGCGUAAUAGCUCACUGGUCGA
Molecule: ribosomal RNA, 762 nt
Filed under: Salmonella enterica
Lineage: Bacteria; Pseudomonadati; Pseudomonadota; Gammaproteobacteria; Enterobacterales; Enterobacteriaceae
Description: partial 23S ribosomal RNA
Rfam family: Bacterial large subunit ribosomal RNA
Source: RNAcentral